Molecule: long non-coding RNA, 2367 nt
Organism: Stegostoma tigrinum
Lineage: Eukaryota; Metazoa; Chordata; Chondrichthyes; Orectolobiformes; Stegostomatidae
Exons: 6
Source: RefSeq, a predicted model, not a curated record
UCCACACAACCGAGAGGAGCGCAUGCGUGAUGCCAUCCCCCAGCGCUGCCAUUGAGGGCCGUCAUUGAGUGGAAGAGAUUUGUUUGAAACAGGCCGCAAUGGAGAGACCAGCGCCCAGGGAAGCGAGGGAACAGCAGGCUCCUUCCAGCAGCGCAUCGAGAUGAGAUGUGGCUUCUGCCUUCCUCCGGGCAAAUACUUGAAGGACCAGGAUGAUGUUGUAUUUGAGAUAAUGGGAACUGCAGAUGCUGGAGAAUUCCAAGAUAAUAAAAUGUGAGGCUGGAUGAACACAGCAGGCCAAGCAGCAUCUCAGGAGCACAAAAGCUGACGUUUCGAGCGUAGACCCUUCAUCAAAGAGGAUGUUGUAUUUCCUCGGUACAAAGCCAAGUCUGACCAGUUGCUUCUAACAAUCAGCAGGCCAAUACUUGAAGGACCAGGACAAUUUAGUGUUUCCUCAGUACAAAGCCAAUUGUGACCAGCAUCUUACAACAACCACCGGGGUGUGGCCAGCUCUGCCAAGGUGGCAAGGGGAUGCCAAUCUCAAAACGUCCUUGAAUAGAUCAACAUGCUCGACCUGAAGGUAAUGAGGAGUUUGCAAAGGGUUAAGAGUCACGUGCAGAGCAGAUCAGGUGCAGUCCUGCCAAGUGAAUAUCAUCAAAGAUUCCCAGCUUCCCAAAGUGGAUUUGAACCCGGGUCCCCAGAACAUCACUGGAACAUCUGGAUUAACAGUUCCGCGAUAAUCCCAUGAGGCCAUCGCUUCCCCAUUCAAAGGUCAAGCCUGCCACUCUGGAGGUGUGUGAUCCCCCAUCCUGACAAUGUGGCGUUUCCAAAAUACCUGCAGCGGAGAGAAACCCCCUACGUUCCCGUUCCCACAAUGGGUUUUGGAAUCUCAGAAAACCGAGUUGAAGUGUCCAGCAGGGGUUUCGGAUCAUUGGGAGAUCUAGUUUUCUCCGUACAGACUCCAUUUCAGCCAUGCCUUUUCUCUCCAGUUUGUUCAGUGGCUUGCAGCUCAGUGUGUGUUCCUUCUGUGGGGCCAGAAGUUGCUCGAUCCAACCCCACACCCCAGGUCUCUUUCGCCCUGGAAUGUAACCAUUGAAAUUGGCUGGUUUCUGUUUUUGUUUAUAUCUCCCAACUGUCAGAUCCUUCUGACUAUUCCUGUUCAAAGUUGGUCUGUUCCAUGCGCAGAAGGUGGCAGACGAUGUCUUCCUCCCCUUAAACAUGGACCAACUGAAAAGCUCAAUCCUCAGACAUGUACAUGAGGGGGAAGGAGGGACAGGUAUUAAAUUUCCAAAGACCACCAGCUGCUAAAAUAGUGUUGAUUUUACAAAACUAAUGGCCUGCAAUGUCCAGAACAGACCAACAGAUGCAACAACAUGAAAUUAGCUUCCCCGGCUGAAAAUGAGUGGAGUCAAACAACGUGUGAAACAUGGUUUCCAUCGCAAAGUUCACAAGUUUGGGAUCUGUACACAGGAGUUACAUUGUACCUCUUCACCAGACAGUCUAUAAAAAUCGAAUGACCCACCUCUCAUCUGUCUUCUUCUUUCUUACUUGUGUGGAAUAUUCUCAUAAACAUUUCCACCCGCUCUGUCUUCUUCCUCUGAGAGCUCGCUGAGGUUCAGUGUGGCAUAUGUGAUACAGGAAUCAUUGGGGUCAGGCUUGGCGUCCUGCAAUUGGAACGAUAUUGGAAUGGAAUUGGAAUUGAGUGGGAGCAGGAAGGUGAAGAGGUGGGAGAGGUCAAUUGGGAAUAAAGGUAGAAGUGGAUAUCAGGGGAAAACAGGAAUCACCAACAGGAAAUGAAGGAGGUCAAGUAUUGUUUUAUGGUGAGGGUGAGCAUUCAGUUUAAGGUUAGUGUUGGGAUUCAGAUUAGGAUUAGGGUCAUGGUUAGGUUUUGGGUUAUGGGUUGGGUGAGGGUUAGGGUUAAGGUUGGUUCAGCAUUAAGGUUUGGUUUAAGGUUAGCAUUGGGUUAAGGCAAGGAUUACAGUGAGGGUCAGUGGUCAGUCUAGGGCUAGGCUUAAGGUUUGGGUUGGUGUAUUAGUUUUAGUUAGCAUUUGGCUGAGAGCCACGAUUAGAAUGAGUAUUAGAGCUCGGUUUAGGACUAAGAUUUAGUUUAGGGGUAGGUUUGAGUUUAAAUUAGGGUUACGAUUAGUGGAGCGAGGACUUGAGGGGUCUGAAUGGCCUCCUCCUGUUCCUGAUUCACAUGAUGUUAUGUCUCUCCUCUUCUGAGAUGCUCUAGCACAGAGUGGGGAUAGUGAUCACAUUUACCCGAACCAGGAGGCUAACUUUGUGACUGCUCUCCAUCCGACUGUCAGGAACACGGUCUACCCCAGUUCCUGACCCAACACCUCGUUCCCCGGGGUCCCCCAGCCAAAC